Molecule: ribosomal RNA, 494 nt
Filed under: uncultured bacterium
Lineage: Bacteria
Description: partial 16S ribosomal RNA
Source: RNAcentral
GCACGUAGUUAGCCGGGGCUUCUUCUGGAGGUACCGUCACCCUCUGGGCUGUUAACCCGAGUGGCUUCGUCCCUCCUGAAAGCGGUUUACAACCCGAAGGCCUUCUUCCCGCACGCGGCGUCGCUGCGUAAGGCUUUCGCCCAUUGCGCAAGAUUCCCCACUGCUGCCUCCCGUAGGAGUCUGGGCCGUGUCUCAGUCCCAGUGUGGCUGAUCGUCCUCUCAGACCAGCUACGGAUCGUCGCCUUGGUGGGCCGUUACCCCGCCAACAAGCUAAUCCGCCGCGGACCCAUCCUCGGCCAGAGGCCGAAGCUACCUUUUCCCGACCUCCCGCAGGAGGAAGGGGCUAUCCGGCAUUAAUCCGGGUUUCCCCGGGCUAUUCCGGUGCCGAGGGCAGGUUAUCCACGUGUUACUCACCCGUUCGCCGCUGUCCCCAGGGCCGAAGCCCUGGUUCUCGCUCGACUUGGCAUGUGUUAGGCGCGCCGCCAGCGUUCGUC